CAGUCGCUCUCCACAGCACACAGAGAGAGGAGGCAGCCUGAGAGAGGAGGACAGAGGAAACCUAUCUGCUCAUCUGUCUGUCCAGCGGCUUCCUCUGGGCAUCCGCAAGGUGCAUGCGGCUGGCCCUGCACAGGUAGGCAGCAAUGCUCCUCUGUUAAGAAGUCUGGGCUGAAGAGGAAGAAGGAAUAAAAGCAUCCAGCAGGGAUCAUUGUGCUGAAGGAUUAUCAAGUACAGAGGAUUGCGGCUGACUGCCUUCAUUCGUUACUUCCACGAGAUGACUGAGGAGAGACCUGCGUGCAUCUGCAAGAUUACCACCUGAGCAGCACCUGGGAACGUUCCCUCAUAAAUUUUAACAGAGGUUCCUGUUUACUUUGAACAAAGUGGUACCUGGCAUGUCCUGCAGCACAGUCCGGGCGAGCGGAGAGAAGACAGCGGAGCUGCAGACAGGCAGCGGGGCUGCACGCGCGGCGCGGCGCGGCGUGGCGCUGCGCCCGGACCAGAGGCGCGGCUGUCGGCUGGAGAGCGCGCGGACUACCGGAGCUAUGGAGCGCAGCUGUGCGCGGAUGGGAGCCGGCGCCGGGAGCGCUAAACCCAGACUGACCAACGCCGCCUGUUCGGAUGAAGAGAAAGUCGGAUAUAGAGGAGUUAGGGACGAGCAUCCUGUUUAG
This 668-nucleotide long non-coding RNA is filed under the name Oryzias javanicus (javanese ricefish). RNAcentral describes it as "lncRNA (ENSOJAG00000021929.1)". Lineage: Eukaryota; Metazoa; Chordata; Actinopteri; Beloniformes; Adrianichthyidae. The record is from RNAcentral.